Zalophus californianus (California sea lion) is the source of this 610-nucleotide long non-coding RNA. RefSeq lists it as uncharacterized. The record is from RefSeq and is a predicted model, not a curated record. NCBI's taxonomy places the organism in Eukaryota, Metazoa, Chordata, Mammalia, Carnivora, Otariidae. The transcript has 3 exons.
CGCCCCCACUCCCCCCGCCCCCGCCCCCGAGCGCGCGCUAGCUGCCGGCGGGACCCGCGCUGCUAAUGGGCGGUACCAACCUCGCCAGCUGAGGCGGGGGGCACGGGGAGGAGGUGGCGAGCCCCCCCUAGGGAUUGGUAUCGCUCCCCCGCCCCCUACACACAAACCCUCCCCAGCCUAGGCGGCUCCGGUUUGAGGCGCUGGAGCAGGGGCUGCGGGCUGGGGCCGAGCCACGCCGGUCUCGGCUCUCUAGAGUUAAAGCUCGCCCGGCCCGUUGCCUGCACCCCCAUCCCACCCCGCCUCCAUCCUGGCUGUUCCUGGCGCCCAGCUUGGCAGCCUUUCUCAAAGGCUCGUAGCCAAGAUGAGCAAUGGAAGGAACAAUCUUUCACUGUACAUUACAAUCAGGCCCUGGCUAGCAGUAUCUUCUGGGGUGAAUGCCUAAUCAUCAUUAUUGUCAUCAUUAUCAUCACCACCAUCCCUACUAUUUAUUAGGUCCACUGAGGAUACCAGACCUGGAACAAGAGCCAGAAAGAUUCUUAGAGAUCAUCCAGUCCAGUGGUGUACAUACUUGGUUCUUCCAAACAAAACUGUAUGAAAUGCUCCACUAUUU